GCUAGCGGCAGGCCUAACACAUGCAAGUCGAGGGGUAACGAUGGCUUCGGCCAGGCGACGACCGGCGCACGGGUGAGUAUCGCGUUUGUAACCUACCUCUAACUGGAGAAUAGCCCGAAGAAAUUCGGAUUAAUACUCCAUAAUACUAUGAUUUGGCAUCUUUUUAUAGUUAAAGCUCCGGCGGUUAGAGAUGGGCA
Molecule: ribosomal RNA, 197 nt
Filed under: uncultured bacterium
Lineage: Bacteria
Description: partial 16S ribosomal RNA
Rfam family: Bacterial small subunit ribosomal RNA
Source: RNAcentral